RNAcentral lists this ribosomal RNA (510 nucleotides) under uncultured bacterium. RNAcentral's name for it is "bacterial SSU rRNA". It matches the Rfam family "Bacterial small subunit ribosomal RNA", at positions 29 to 515 of the family's 1533-position model. The record is from RNAcentral.
AAUGAACGCUGGCGGCGUGCUUAACACAUGCAAGUCGGACGAGAAAGGCUAAUUUCGGUUGGCCGAGUAAAGUGGCGCACGGGUGAGUAACGCGUAGGCAACCUACCCUUGUAUUGGGGAUAACCCUGCGAAAGUGGGGCUAAUACCGGAUGAGACCCUAUUCUGGAGGGGAUAGGGUGAAAGUCGGCCGUUCGGAGAAGCUGACGUACGAGGAUGGGCCUGCGUCCUAUCAGCUGGUUGGUGGGGUAGCGGCCUACCAAGGCGACGACGGGUAGCUGGUCUGAGAGGAUGAUCAGCCACACUGGCACUGGAACACGGGCCAGACUCCUACGGGAGGCAGCAGUGAGGAAUUUUGCGCAAUGGCCGCAAGGCUGACGCAGCAACGCCGCGUGGGUGAUGAAGGCCUUCGGGUCGUAAAGCCUGUCAGGUGGGAAGAAGGCCUUAAGGAGAAACGCUUGAGGUUUGACGGUACCACCAGAGGAAGCACCGGCGUAACUCCGUGCCAGCACG